This 250-nucleotide ribosomal RNA is filed under the name uncultured prokaryote. RNAcentral's name for it is "partial 16S ribosomal RNA". It matches the Rfam family "Bacterial small subunit ribosomal RNA", at positions 524 to 773 of the family's 1533-position model. The record is from RNAcentral.
UACGGAAGGUCCGGGCGUUAUCCGGAUUUAUUGGGUUUAAAGGGAGCGCAGGCGGGGUAUUAAGCGUGACGUGAAAUGCCGCGGCUCAACCGUGGAAGUGCGUCGCGAACUGGUUCCCUUGAGUGCGUGCGACGUGGGCGGAAUUCGUGGUGUAGCGGUGAAAUGCUUAGAUAUCACGAAGAACCCCGAUUGCGAAGGCAGCCCACGAGUCCGUAACUGACGCUAAAGCUCGAAGGUGCGGGUAUCGAAC